Molecule: ribosomal RNA, 253 nt
Filed under: uncultured bacterium
Lineage: Bacteria
Description: partial 16S ribosomal RNA
Rfam family: Bacterial small subunit ribosomal RNA
Source: RNAcentral
UACGUAGGGGGCAAGCGUUGUCCGGAAUCAUUGGGCGUAAAGAGCGUGUAGGCGGCUUGGUAAGUCCGCUGUGAAAGUCCAGGGCUCAACCCUGGAAUGCCGGUGGAAACUGUCAAGCUUGAGUCCGGAAGAGGCGAGUGGAAUUCCUGGUGUAGCGGUGAAAUGCGUAGAUAUUGGGAGGAACACCAGUGGCGAAGGCGGCUCACUGGACCGGUUCUGACGCUGAAGCGCGAAAGCGUGGGGAGCAAACGGG